Molecule: ribosomal RNA, 936 nt
Filed under: uncultured bacterium
Lineage: Bacteria
Description: bacterial SSU rRNA
Rfam family: Bacterial small subunit ribosomal RNA
Source: RNAcentral
UUAGAGUUUGAUCCUGGCUCAGGACGAACGCUGGCGGCGUGCCUAAUACAUGCAAGUGGAACGCUUGUUCAACAUCGGAGCUUGCUCCACCGUUGAACAAGAGUCGCGAACGGGUGAGUAACGCGUGGGAAAUCUGCCUCUCAGCGGGGGACAACUACUAGAAAUGGUAGCUAAUACCGCAUAACAGAACAGAUCACAUGAUUCAUUUUUGAAAGAUGCAAUCGCAUCACUGAGAGAUGAUCCCGCGUUGGAUUAGCUAGUUGGUAAGGUAACGGCUUACCAAGGCGAUGAUCCAUAGCCGACCUGAGAGGGUAAUCGGCCACAUUGGGACUGAGACACGGCCCAAACUCCUACGGGAGGCAGCAGUAGGGAAUCUUCGGCAAUGGACGGAAGUCUGACCGAGCAACGCCGCGUGAGUGAAGAAGGUUUUCGGAUCGUAAAGCUCUGUUGUAAGAGACGAACGGGAGAGAGAGUGGAAAGUUCUCUUCGUGACGGUAUCUUACCAGAAAGGGACGGCUAACUACGUGCCAGCAGCCGCGGUAAUACGUAGGUCCCGAGCGUUGUCCGGAUUUAUUGGGCGUAAAGCGAGCGCAGGCGGUUUCUUAAGUCUGAUGUAAAAGGCAGUGGCUUAGCCAUUGUACGCAUUGGAAACUGGGAGACUUGAGUGCAGUAGAGGUGAGUGGAACUCCAUGUGUAGCGGUGGAAUGCGUAGAUAUAUGGAAGAACACCGGAGGCGAAAGCGGCUCACUGGGCUGUAACUGACGCUGAGGCUCGAAAGCGUAGGUAGCAAACAGGAUUAGAUACCCUGGUAGUCUACGCCGUAAACGAUGAGUGCUAGAUGUUGGGAGGCAUAAGCUUUUCAGUAUCGCAGUUAACACGAUAAGCACUCCGCCUGGGGAGUACGACCGCAAGGUUGAAACUCAAAGGAAUUGACGG